CCUUUGACGUUAGCGGCGGACGGGUGAGUAACACGUGGGUAACCUACCUAUAAGACUGGGAUAACUUCGGGAAACCGGAGCUAAUACCGGAUAAUAUUUCGAACCGCAUGGUUCGAUAGUGAAAGAUGGUUUUGCUAUCACUUAUAGAUGGACCCGCGCCGUAUUAGCUAGUUGGUAAGGUAACGGCUUACCAAGGCGACGAUACGUAGCCGACCUGAGAGGGUGAUCGGCCACACUAGAACUGAGACACGGUCCAGACUCCUACGGGAGGCAGCAGCAA
RNAcentral lists this ribosomal RNA (280 nucleotides) under uncultured Staphylococcus sp. Its description in RNAcentral is "partial 16S ribosomal RNA". It matches the Rfam family "Bacterial small subunit ribosomal RNA", at positions 83 to 355 of the family's 1533-position model. Lineage: Bacteria; Bacillati; Bacillota; Bacilli; Caryophanales; Staphylococcaceae. The record is from RNAcentral.